Molecule: long non-coding RNA, 3783 nt
Organism: Canis lupus familiaris (dog)
Lineage: Eukaryota; Metazoa; Chordata; Mammalia; Carnivora; Canidae
Exons: 4
Source: RefSeq, a predicted model, not a curated record
UCAGAGAAGGCGAAAGCGCCGCCCAACCUAGAGUGCUUACCCCUUUGGAGUUCUCUGAUUUUCCCUGCUAGCCGCCCCUGAGCUUCUGCCGGUCGCAACAUGUCACGUAUAGCGUCCUAGUGGUCGCGCCGCCCCGUCAAUCCUUAUUUUAGGAAGACGACCAAAUUCAUGGGAGCUUACUCCAUGGGCUCCGUCACCGGAGUGGGAGCCGUUCCAGUUGUUUCCGGACGCGCGACCGUGACCUAGGGUCAGCAUCUCCACCGGAACUUCAGUCUGUGGUUGCGAUUGCUAAGUUAAAAGCACCUCGUUGUUAUUUCUCAUUUGCAUGUUGCUUUACAACUGGAGUCCUCUUGCAGGUGGGAGAGAAAGUGUCCUAUCCGUUUCCUGCCAGCAUUUCCUCCUCCCUGGCACCAAGCUCUUUCCUAGGGAUCUGGAGGUGAAUGCAUGAAGAAGGCGCUGCCUGACUCAGCUGGAUCUUAAGCGCAGGGAAAGGGACCUGUUUUUCCAUUCUUAGGCUGAAAAGAAAUGGGAGCAUUGACUCUGCAAACAGACUUGGUGGUAGCCUCAGGAAUCCCAGCAAGAAAAUCCCAAGAAGAUCAAUCCUGCUCUAAAUCCAUGGGUGCUGAGCCACAACCAGACAAGUUUCAGGAAUGCAGUUAGUCAAAUAUCUUCCAAUGACUCAGCUCACAGGAGCCCUGGUUCAUAGAAAGAGCACUAGGCCUGGAGUUGGCAGAUUUGCACCUGAACAUGGUCUCUGAUACCUCCUACCUAUGUGGCCUUGGAUCAUUUUGACAUCCGUUUCAUAGCUGCUUCAAUUCCAUAUGAUGAAGGAGUUAGACCUCUUGAAAGAGAUUGGUUUUGAAGGAGGGAAAGGAAUGCCUGAAAAGAAUGAAGAGGAUACUCAGCGACAAGCAGUGGCCCAAGCACAGAUGAUGGUACCAGCGAUAAUGCAAACCCAAGCUGGAUGAUCCAGUAAAGGAGGAAACCCCACUGUGAUCUGAUGUAACUUUCACAAUGGCCCUUAUGAAAUUGACACCAUUAUCUUCAUUUUUACGAAUGAGGAACUGAAGUUCAGAGCUUGUAAGUGAGGGAGUUGGAGUUGGAAUCCAGACCGGUUUGACUCCAUAAUAAUCCCGUUUCUUCGUGAUUCCUGGGGCAAGCAUGCUGGAUUGUUGACCUCUGUUCGAGACACUCAUUUUCUCUCUAAAUCUAAGGGACUCUUUUGUUACCUUCAUUUUGGAUUUUUAAGACCUCAUACUCUUUGACCAUUUCCCCAACUGGUUGAGAUCACUCUGACUUCUGUUAAUUUUUUUCUUAAGUAGGCUGUUCGCCCAAUAUGGGAGUCAAACUCACAAUCCAAGAUGGAGUUCCAGGUUCUACUGACUGAGCCAGCCAGGCACCCCUCUACUAUUGAUCUUUUGAAGAGGUUAGCAACUCCACCAAAUUUGGCGCAUAUACAGAGGUAGAAGCAGGCCUGUCUUUCAAGCCUCAGCUCAGUCCAGAACAACAUAUUUUGGAGAUCCAAUUAGAGCCACUCAAAUGCUUUGAAAGCUGGCUAUUGCUUAGAAAUGGGAAUGUCAAGUUACCUUCACCCUAACAAUAAGCUCAUUACAAGGCACUUCAGAGAGAUUCAGGCAUUAAAGACUUUGCUUUGAUAACUUUGAAAAGGCAGGAAAAAGUAACAAAAUUAGUUAUAAAGGGAAUUUCCCCCCUCAAAUCAGAAACCAAACAUUGUGGGAAACUCUUAUAGAUUGAAAGACAUAUAUACAAAUAUAUUUUUAUAUGAGUAAUAACAUGUGUAUUAACAAAGUAGCCUUACUUCAACCCCACUGUCUCUAUUUGGGAGGAAAUUAGUUGCUUAAAGAUAAUCUUAAAAAUACUCAUUCAGGAAAGGGUACUACCCUUUUAAUUCUCAAGCGAUGCUCUUGACAUGCCUGUUGGCUUUCUAUAACUGGGUUUGGAUUGGCCCACCCUCACUCUCUCACCAGUCUCUCUUGAUACAGCUAGCACCCUAAGGAUGCUGGGGAUGUAUAGCCAAAGAAGCAAGAAGGUAUCCUGUUACAUUUUAAAAAAUAUAUAACUUGUGUUCUUAGUUUCUGCAAAAUGACAACAUCAUUCCGUUGUGGUUCUAGCUAAUAUGAUGACAUUCAACCCCUACUCUUGCCUUAUGCCUGGUUGCUCCAAACAAAAAAGAUUACAUUCACUUAUGUUUACAGGUUUCUAAAACCACUUCAAGAUACUGCCGGUGUGGAGGGGUAUGUGUGUGUGUGUGUGUGUGUGUGUGUGUGUGCGUGUGUGUGAUCAUCUUUCUGCAUAUAUUCACUCCACAAGUAUUUUUGAGCACGUAUCAAGUGCCAAACACUGCAAGAGAUGCUUGGGAUGUGGGAGAACCAGAAACACAAGGCAAAGAUUCCUGCCCUUAUGGAGCUGUAGUCUAGUGGGGAAGCAUUAGGAAUACUGACAAUUAAAAAUAAUGGAAAUGCAUGAUGUAUCAGGGGAACCCGAAGGAUCAUCUGCAAACCGUAAAAGGGAGGAAAGGGAUUGAGUGGGCAGCCAGCUUGUGGGGAGGGUGUGAGGUUGGGAGGCGGGUCACUGGUAAGUAGGGUGGUCGGUGGAGGUCUCACUGGGCGUGACUUCAGCCAAGACCUGAAAGAUGUGAGGUCUUCAACCAAGCAGAUGUCUAGGGAAGAACAUUCUAGGCAGAGAGAACUGCAUAGAGCAACGGCCUUAUGUGCUUGCAUAUUAAGGAAAUAGCAAGGAACCCAGAGUAAUUGAAGAUGAAGCUGGGGGAAAAUGGAGGAAGCGUGGCUUUCUAUUUGCUGAUCAUAAGUAUGAUCGUCCAACUAUUUAUAACGCUCAUACCCAAGAUAAUUUACCCUUUAGAGAGAUUUAUGUUUGACAUGUAAAUAUGGACACAAUAUAGUCAAGUAGGAAUAAAAGCAGAUAAUAAAACAGUAUUUGUAUAUAUGAUUCUUUUAAACUUAAAAAAAAAAAAAAAGAGCGACCUAGGCAUGGCUUUCACUUUCUACUUUACACAGUUCAAAAAAUCUAUCCCUUCACUAGCAUCUUUGGAUUGCGGGCUUCUUGAAAACAGGAGCUGGCCACACAGCAAGUAGCAUAAUGCCCCUGUUGAUGGGGAUGCUGGUGAGUAAGCCCUCAAUAUAUACAAGCUUUGAAUUAAUGCAUGUAUAAUUGUGCCUGUUUCUUGUUGAAUAUGGGUUUUUCUAUCUCAUUCUUGACAUACUUCCUACAAACCUGUGCCUUUCUUUGAAUUCCUUUGUAAUGUUUUGGAACUGCCUUGUUGGACUUUCCCAUUCACGGUCCUAGAUAUGUAGGGCACAAGGUUUAACCAAACAACCUGGCUUCUUACAUCUCCCUUCCUGAUCAGAAAUACAGACCGUCCUCUGGAGCUUCCAUUGGGGAUCUUUCUUCCCACCGAAUUCUUUCCACUAGCUGUCCCACUUACUGAAUGGCUAAAAUGUUUUCCAUCAUCCCUAGAUCAUCUUGAUAUCCAGUUUCAUACCUGCUUCAAUUCUCUCUGAUGACGGCCAUAAGGGUGGUUUAAGAUUCCUAUCCAGAAGCAUACAUACCUCUUAGAUUCUUACUCCCAAGAACUAUUUUCCAGAUGUCUUUCUGGUGGGAAACUCAGCUUCUACCAAGCAGUUCCUGCUUUAAAAUAGCUUUGGUGAGGGGUGCCUGGGUGGCUCAGUCUGUUAAGUGUCUGCCUUCAGCUCAGGUCAUGAUCUCAGGGUCCUGGGACGGAGCCCUGUGUUGGGCUCUCUG